This 450-nucleotide ribosomal RNA is filed under the name uncultured prokaryote. RNAcentral describes it as "bacterial SSU rRNA". It matches the Rfam family "Bacterial small subunit ribosomal RNA", at positions 355 to 796 of the family's 1533-position model. The record is from RNAcentral.
UGAGGAAUUUUGCGCAAUGGGGGAAACCCUGACGCAGCGACGCCGCGUGGAGGACGAAGGCCUUCGGGUCGUAAACUCCUGUCAAGCGGGACGAAUGCCGUAGGGAUGAAUAAGCCCUACGGUUGACGGUACCGCUGGAGGAAGCCCCGGCUAACUCCGUGCCAGCAGCCGCGGUAAUACGGAGGGGGCCAGCGUUGUUCGGAAUUAUUGGGCGUAAAGGGCGCGUAGGCGGCCUGGUAAGUCAGACGUGAAAUCCCGCGGCUCAACCGCGGAACUGCGUUUGAUACUGCCGGGCUUGAGUCCCGGAGAGGGUAGCGGAAUUCCCAGUGUAGCGGUGAAAUGCGUAGAUAUUGGGAGGAACACCAGUGGCGAAGGCGGCUACCUGGACGGGUACUGACGCUGAGGCGCGAAAGCGUGGGGAGCAAACAGGAUUAGAUACCCCCGUAGUCC